ACAUAACAUAACAACCCCAACUCCUUUAACAAUACUACCCCACACAAUGACCCACAUCACAAUAAGCAAAACCACCGUUAAUUAAUGUUAAUUAACAUUUAAACAUGACCAUUGCCACCAAGGGCAUGAUUUUCCAGCUUUCUUCCAUGUAGGGGUAUACCGAGAUAUACCCAACACACACCAGGUUCGGAGCGACCAACGAGCUCGAACCUACC
Non-coding RNA from Pelobates cultripes (western spadefoot toad), 215 nucleotides. The record is from the annotation of a GenBank genome assembly. Lineage: Eukaryota; Metazoa; Chordata; Amphibia; Anura; Pelobatidae.